Molecule: non-coding RNA, 425 nt
Organism: Pelobates cultripes (western spadefoot toad)
Lineage: Eukaryota; Metazoa; Chordata; Amphibia; Anura; Pelobatidae
Source: the annotation of a GenBank genome assembly
AUACUUGGUUAGUGGUGGGUUAUGCUUUCAAAGCUACCCACAUAAAAGCAUAUAAAACGGCAAAACAAAAGUCACUUCCUGGUUUCGUCCGGCCCAAUCAUGUCAUCCGCUUCCGGGUCCGCCUCUCAAGUGACGUAUGCAUGACAAGUUUCGCCCGCCUCCACAGCCUUCCUCUGACACCGUCAUUCCACUCCAGCCCUCUCUCUUAAGCGUCUGUCUCCUCCCCCUCUAUUGUACCAUUGGUCGGGGGGUGUGGUCUAAUCACCCAAGCUAAUCUAGCUCCUUCUUUAUACAGAUGUAGAUUCGAACAUAAAGUUCCACCUACUCUUAUUUACAAAUGUUUAAUCCAACUACCUUACUUAGCUCAAUUAAGGACUGGUGUUUAUCUAGUAAUUGCACACAAUAUCAAGUCAAUCGAAUACAAA